AGCUCAGGACGAAGUGUGAUUAAAUGUUACCCACAUGUGUGCUGCUGAGAAGGAUGUAGAGGGGCACCUGCGGCCAAAUCCAAGCCUCCUCAGCAACUUCAGGUCUGUCAGCGUGCUGAGGUCACAGAAACAAGAAGCUUCAGACUUCAGAGUGUUGUUUACAGUUUUCUGUCAUCAUGAUCUCCCCUGAAGUUUAUCAAGCAAGCAGAGCAGCAGUUUGUGCUCACAGAUGGUGACGGUGUGGAGAGACGGUGGUGUUUCCUCAGAAGAACUAGCAGAGUCACAAAGGGCACGAGUCCAUCUCACCACCUUGACUUGUUGAUCAGUGGACACACUUGUCUCCCCUUUAAAGGAGAUACUCUUAGAGAGAGACGAUCCGAGUCAUCCUUAAAUAUGGGCAGGAUAUCAGUCUUGGACUGUCUAACCUGCCGGAGCAGCACUGAAUGACCACCACACAUGAGCAGUUCCUGCAACAUUCAGCAGCUCUGCUUUUGUGUCAAAUGUCCAACAACUGGAGAGGAAACUACACCAGUGUACUGGGAUGUUUCACCAACACGUGCCAGACGCUGUUCCUUCAUGGUGACAUCACCAGAGAAUGCCCCGCCCACCUCAUGACCUCGCCAUUGAUCAUGAUGAUUUUAAUGAUGACAGCGAGCGGAACUAAGACUGUAAAAAUCAGAAUGUUUAGAUGCUUUCUAAUUAUUCAUGAAUACUGAGAGCCUCUUUCUGUGUUUUGUCUGGUUUUUUUUACUUCAUUUGUUACUCACAAAGUUCACCAAACUCACACAGUUUACAUUCUGUAUGUUUCCAUCUUUACCAGCCACACUCUACCCGCAAUUAAGAAAAUAAUCCUUAGAAAUUGUCGUUUUUCUCUUUUGUAAUUUUGUAAUUCAGUGAAUAUACUGCGCUGCUUCCUUUAAUUGCGUCUCACAUUGCUAUAAGUUUUUCCAGUGUCCAGCUAUUUUUUUACUGCUGUUUGAAUUCUCUGUAUGUUUGACCCUGUAGACUGUUUGAUGGACUGCUUGUCUUCCCGUUUGUAACCACCACCUGUUUUUGACUAAAGAUUUGGAUUUCUGAC
Molecule: long non-coding RNA, 1078 nt
Organism: Oreochromis niloticus (Nile tilapia)
Lineage: Eukaryota; Metazoa; Chordata; Actinopteri; Cichliformes; Cichlidae
Exons: 5
Source: RefSeq, a predicted model, not a curated record